This 468-nucleotide ribosomal RNA is filed under the name uncultured bacterium. RNAcentral's name for it is "partial 16S ribosomal RNA". It matches the Rfam family "Bacterial small subunit ribosomal RNA", at positions 28 to 507 of the family's 1533-position model. The record is from RNAcentral.
GACGAACGCUGGCGGCGUGCUUAAUACAUGCAAGUCGAACGGAAAGGCCCUGCUCUUGUGGCGUGCUCGAGUGGCGAACGGGUGAGUAACACGCGUGUAACCCGCCCUUGAAUUUGGGAUAAAAUCAGGAAAAUGGGGCUAAUACCGGAUAGGAGCUCCUGCAGCAUGGGGGUGGUUGGAAAGUUUCGGCGGUUGGGGAUGGACUCGCGGGUUACCAGCCUGUUGGUGUGGUAGUGGAUUACAAAGGGUUUGACGGGUAGCCGGCCUGAGAGGGUGGACGGCGACAAUGCGACUGAGAGACGCACCAGACGGCUACGGGAGGCAGCAGGGGGGAGUAUUGCAGAACAGGCGGAAGCCAGAUACAGCAGUGCCGCGAGCGGGAUAAUGGGCUUCGGGUGAUAAACCGCUGUCGCCUGUACUGAGGAGGGAGUGACGGUAAUGAAUAAGAAAGCAACGGCUAACUACGUG